CUGGCAGGGGGUGAUUAAUUAUAGCCGCCAGCAAACUGAUGGUUGGCCAAUGUCGAGUGACUAUAACGACACUG
Molecule: transfer RNA, 74 nt
Filed under: Shewanella piezotolerans WP3
Lineage: Bacteria; Pseudomonadati; Pseudomonadota; Gammaproteobacteria; Alteromonadales; Shewanellaceae
Description: tRNA-Gly
Source: RNAcentral